This 405-nucleotide ribosomal RNA is filed under the name uncultured bacterium. RNAcentral describes it as "partial 16S ribosomal RNA". It matches the Rfam family "Bacterial small subunit ribosomal RNA", at positions 28 to 526 of the family's 1533-position model. The record is from RNAcentral.
GAUGAACGCUGGCGGCGUGCCUAAUACAUGCAAGUCGAGCGAAGCGGGGAGGGGUGAGUAAGACGUGGAGACCCUCCGAUAAGACCGGGAUAAAUUGGGGAAACCGGAGCUAAACCGGAUAAUUAUAGAUGGAUCCGCGAUGCACGAGCUAGUUGGUAAGGUAACGGCGUACCAAGGCAACGAUGCAUAGCCGACCUGAGAGGGUGAUCGGCCACACUGGAACUGAGACACGGUCCAGACUCCUACGGUAGGCAGCAGUAGGGAAUCUUCCGCAAUGGGCGAAAGCCUGACGGAGCAACGCCGCGUGAGUGAUGAAGGUCUUCGGAUCGUAAAACUCUGUUAUUAGGGAAGCGGUACCUAAUCAGAAAGCCACGGCUAACUACGUGCCAGCCGCCGCGGUAAUAC